CAGUCGCCACGGGAAUACGAAGGGUGCAAGCGUUAAUCGGAAUUACUGGGCGUAAAGCGUGCGUAGGCGGUUUGUUAAGUCUGUUGUGAAAUCCCCGGGCUCAACCUGGGAAUGGCAAUGGAUACUGGCAAGCUAGAGUGUGUCAGAGGAUGGUGGAAUUCCCGGUGUAGCGGUGAAAUGCGUAGAGAUCGGGAGGAACAUCAGUGGCGAAGGCGGCCAUCUGGGACAACACUGACGCUGAGGCACGAAAGCGUGGGGAACAAACAGGAUUAGAUACCCCGGUAGUCCCUGUCUCUUAUAC
Molecule: ribosomal RNA, 301 nt
Filed under: uncultured bacterium
Lineage: Bacteria
Description: partial 16S ribosomal RNA
Rfam family: Bacterial small subunit ribosomal RNA
Source: RNAcentral